Hippocampus zosterae (dwarf seahorse) is the source of this 369-nucleotide long non-coding RNA. RefSeq lists it as uncharacterized. The transcript has 3 exons. NCBI's taxonomy places the organism in Eukaryota, Metazoa, Chordata, Actinopteri, Syngnathiformes, Syngnathidae. The record is from RefSeq and is a predicted model, not a curated record.
UCAGCUGGGAAUUUAACGGCACCAGCGUCAACGGCUCCUUGUAUGUGGUCCAGCACCUGGAUGAGCAAAGCGAGGGCAACUACACGUGUACGGCGAGAAAUGCAGUGACUCGCCGUGAAAACUCCACCAUUCUGUACCUGAGAGCGUCUUGUGUCACCACCUGCUGGUCGGUUUCAGUGAUGCUGCUGAGUGCAACCAGCCUCAGGUGGUCUACUAUGUAGUGUACUAGAAGAUGACCAGAAUCGAUGAGUCGGCUUGGGAUGGAGGAUCUUUAUUAAAAAGACUUUGCGGGAAGUGUUGCCAUGGAGACAAAAUUAGAGAAUUUGAACAAUCUACAAUACUGCCAACAUUGCAUUUGGCUCAAGGAUU